UACGUAUGGUGCAAGCGUUAAUCGGAAUUACUGGGCGUAAAGCGUGCGCAGGCGGUUUUGUAAGUCUGUCGUGAAAUCCCCGGGCUCAACCUGGGAAUUGCGAUGGAGACUGCAAGGCUAGAAUCUGGCAGAGGGGGGUAGAAUUCCACGUGUAGCAGUGAAGUGCGUAGAGAUGUGGAGGAACACCGAUGGCGAAGGCAGCCCCCUGGGUCAAGAUUGACGCUCAUGCACGAAAGCGUGGGGAGCAAACAGG
This 253-nucleotide ribosomal RNA is filed under the name uncultured bacterium. RNAcentral describes it as "partial 16S ribosomal RNA". It matches the Rfam family "Bacterial small subunit ribosomal RNA", at positions 524 to 776 of the family's 1533-position model. The record is from RNAcentral.